CAACUUUCAACAACGGAUCUCUUGGCUCUCGCAUCGAUGAAGAACGCAGCGAAAUGCGAUAAGUAAUGUGAAUUGCAGAAUUCAGUGAAUCAUCGAAUCUUUGAACGCACCUUGCGCUCCUUGGUAUUCCGAGGAGCAUGCCUGUUUGAGUGUCAUUG
RNAcentral lists this ribosomal RNA (158 nucleotides) under uncultured Hygrophoraceae. RNAcentral's name for it is "5.8S ribosomal RNA". It matches the Rfam family "5.8S ribosomal RNA". From Rfam's summary of the family: 5.8S ribosomal RNA (5.8S rRNA) is a component of the large subunit of the eukaryotic ribosome. It is transcribed by RNA polymerase I as part of the 45S precursor that also contains 18S and 28S rRNA. Lineage: Eukaryota; Fungi; Basidiomycota; Agaricomycetes; Agaricales; Hygrophoraceae. The record is from RNAcentral.